Non-coding RNA from Ictidomys tridecemlineatus (thirteen-lined ground squirrel), 5620 nucleotides. The record is from RefSeq and is a predicted model, not a curated record. Lineage: Eukaryota; Metazoa; Chordata; Mammalia; Rodentia; Sciuridae.
AUUCUUUCUUUCUUUUCUUUUCUUUACUUUUUUUUUCUUUUUUCUGUCUCAAGCUCAUCCCUGGGCCUGGGAGACCUGUCAGGGAAGAAGUCCAGUCUCACAGAGGGUGGCAAAGAGCAGCCCCGACACCAACCCCUGGGUGUCCAAAGGAGACCUCACUCGGGACAUCAGAGCAGGCGGGUAGGUUACUGCUUACACACAGCCCAGAUCCCUUGUCCCAGGUCCCCCAGGGCAAAGGGAUGGGGUGCAGGCAGCCGGCAGGGGUGGAGCUGUGGAACCAGGCCGAAGGUUCGAGAAGCGACGAGUCAGCAGCGAACAUCAUAACAGGCACCCAGCAAGCUCAUUCCCUUUCUGCAAGGAGCAGGAAGUCGCUCCGGGGUUUGGACCCACACCAGGCCUUUCGCCUGCCGACAGCUCCCGUGGUUUCUCCCCAACAUGCAGAGAUGGAGCCCCUUGUUUUGAGCUCGCCGGGCCAGGGUGGCGGGGUUGCUACGCUCAGUCCAAGAUGAUCCAAAUAGCGAGGCUGGCCGCCUUUCCAUUCCGUCUGAUGACCUGCACAGGGGUCCACGGACGUCCCACUAGAGUGUGGCGAUGGAUUUUAGAGUCCCAGGUCCACAGAAAGCUGUCCUUAAUAUACCUAUGAACCACCCCCCGUCCCUGACCAGAGACCCAGCCAUCAGGUGUCCCCAGAGCUGGCAAAACCACGGCACAAACAGUCCUUAGGAAUAGUGUCCAAGACCAGGGUGAUGGCUUCCAGUUUGGCCCCACAUGGAGGGUGGCUGGCCAGCAGGGUCAGGAGGUGGUCCCCCCUACUUCGAGGAAUACCUGCAGACAGAGGCUACCUCCCUCCCCAGAGGCUGUGAUCAGCAACAGAAACCUGGGGUUAAUGGUGUCCUUGUCCUGGGGGAUGACCAGGUCCCAAAGGCGGGGCUGCUAACACAUCCUGCAGCGCUGCCUCUAGCGCCACCUGCUGUUCAGGUCUGGGGGUGCCUUCCACAGACCUGGCCAAGGGGUGCAGAAGGCUCAACAGUUUCCCCCAGUGCUGGGGAGUGGAGUGAGCGGGCUUUCCUCCUUAGCUGGGUGGGGUGGUGGGGCAGUGCAAGAAGUUUCUUUCCAGUCUCAGAGGUAAGUCUCUGAGUCACAACCCAUGCACGUUGCUCCCAGAAUUUGAAUUGGGUGGCUGGUCCCUGUCAGGAAGUCUGACCCCUCUUUUUACAGAUAGGAAACCUGAAGCUCAGAGAGAUCGGUAACUUGCCUAGAGUUGCACAGCAAGUGAGUGGCAGGGCCGGGAUUUGGACCCACACCAGGCCUUUCGCCUGCGCCGAUGGCUGUUGGUCUCUCCUCACGGGAGGCUCCUUCCCCGUCUCAGGACCAUCUGUGUCCUUAUUUUUGUUCCAUCUGCAGGCUGAUCUCCAGGACUGCCUGGGACUGUGGGUGUGGGCAGCUGCUGACCCAGGCUCCCCGGGCCUGCUUCCUGCUGCUGAUGUUUAUCCACCAACUCAACCUGGCAAGGCCUGGGGGCAGGUCCUGGACCACCCGGGCCAGUUGCCAACUCUGGAACUCAGGGGGUCCUGGGGAUGCAGGAGUGGCUGUGUUCUCUCCUUCCCGUCCCGGCCAGCGCCCAGCUCACCUGUGCCAUCUCUGUGGCCUCCUGAAUGCCCCCACUGGAGUCCUCCAGCCUCCCUGCCUCCCUCCUCCAUUCUUAAUCAAGUGGUGGGGUGGGGUGACCUGCUCACCGCUCAGGGUGCACCCCCAUUCCCUAAGCAAGAUGGCCUUUGGCCCUGGAGCCUGGCGUGGCCCGUGUCAUUGAGUGGGAUAUGAAGCUUGUGCUCUGACUUCAGGGAAACUGUUCUUUCUUCCCUUCAGCAGCUGCCGGAAGAGACUUUCUCCCUGCUGAGUAGCAGGAUGUGGGGAGGUGACCGGUGGAGAACCUGGGUCAUUGGAGGUGCGGGUGGAAUAGGGUGGGAGGUGGGGGUGGGAAGAGAAGGGGCGAGGCAUGGAUGAUCCUCUAGGGAGCCUGAGCGUUAAAUUGGCAUCCCAGAAGCCAGAGCAGGGAGAUGGAGAGAACCUGCAUCUCCCUUGACAUUUGAGCCACUGGGUCAAGCCACACCUGAUACCCACCGUAUGAGUCUGAGUCUCUUUCGGAAACAAAAUCAGGUAAUUUGAGGAGCGUUUAAUGAACAAUUCAUAAAGGUGGGGCUGGGUGAAUGCUGAGCACCCCAGGGCCAGUAAUAGAGGCGCUGCUACUCCUCUUGGGUCUGAAAAUGGCGAGGGGAAGGAGCAGGCAUUAGGCCUGGAGAGAGGAGCAGGUGGAAAGGGUGCUCAGCCCUUGGUGGCCCCCGCAGGGACUUGAGCCAUGAAGAAGCAAGAGGUGUUCGCAGGCGGAAUCCACGAGGGCCAUCCUCUGGGCGCAGAGGCUCUGGGUGAACUGAUGGAGACCACCCAGAAUGUUCCCCGGUCGGUCUCCAGCCGUAUGUUCCCUUGACCGUUGGAGAGGCCUGGUGAGUGGCCCUUCUUCUUGCCCCAUGAGGGACCAACUGCCACAACCCGAGGCCCGGUCCCAACCCCAUGUCUUUUCUCAGCCUCGACCCUUCCCUCACCUCUGGACCUCUUCUCUCCCUGACCUUCUCCCUCCCCUCCUUAGGGUUCCUAACCCAGAAACGGAAGAGAAAAAAGCAGAAGAGCACAACUAAAAGAUGCCUGGCUCAGCUCCAUGUUCCUCUGCUUACCUUGCUCUGAGUCCUUGGGCAAGUGGCCUACCCUCUCUGAGCCUCAGUUUCCUCCUCCAUCACCUGCCAGGCACCCCCCCUUCCUCCCAGACCUCUGUGCUCAGCAAGGCAUGCUGGGAACAGCCCUGGCCUACCUUGACCUCUGGUUUGCCGUUUGUCCUUGGGCAGAUCUCUACCUUCCCCAGCCUCAGUUUCCUCAUCUGUAACCUCAGGGUCUAUGUUGGGGGGUUCCAAGGCCCCCCGUCACCCCCUUUCUCUCUGGCUCUUCUGUGACUCUCUGACUCUCAGCUGCUCAGCUCGACACGCAGCCUGGUGGCUUCCUCCAGCCGGGAGGGGAGUCACUGAGGGAGCGGGCUGGCGGCUCGGCAGGGCCUGGCACGUCUGCCGUUUGUGUUUAAUUACUCUGGCAACUGUUUACUGCCUUCUCGAUUUCCUGAGCAAACAGCCUCAUUAUUUGGAGUAAUUUUCUGGCACUCGCAUAAGUUGUGAGGAAUGGAAGCUUCGGGGCUUGUCCCUGAUCCAUCCCCCACAGGGACACCAGGGCCCUACGGCUCUGGGUCCCUGGGCCCCUCUGACCUCUGCAGGUUUGCUCAGUCUGUAGGCUGAGGCUCUGCUGCCUAGUGGUUAGGGCUGAGCCUCGGAGCACAGUAGCCCAGGUUUACCACUGUGCAACCUCCGGCGAGCUCCUCUGCUCUGGGAGCCUCAGUUUCCUCAUCUGUGAAAGGGUCUUCCCAGUUCCUCUCCCUCCUCAGGCACUGGCCUCCUCCAUUUUUACCUGGUGGCACUGGGGGCUCCCACAGUCUUUCCUGAUCUUGUCCCUCUCCUGGUCAUUAUUAUUUAGUUUAAAUUUGGAUUCUGACUAACGCUGGGCUGGUCCUGGAUCCUGCUCGCAGACCCUUGAAAGGUUGGUCUGGACCCCUGAUCCACUGUCCCUUCCUGCUGUGGUCUGGGUGUUUGGGCUCCGCCUCACCCCACCUCUGGAAGCUUCCGGUGGGGCCUUGGGCACCCUCUUGCUCACCUGCCUUGUGUCGCGUUCCACGACUGCACACUCAGGGUCCCUCCAGGUGGACCCGGCUGCACAAAAUAACCACACAGAGACACAGAAAUAGCUUUUCCUUUGGGUUCUGUGGCAGCUCCUCCACCUUAGAGGUCCGUGGACAGAGAGUGAGGAGCACGUGCUGAGCCCUUUUACUGGGAAGAAGCCGUUCAAAUGAGGCAGGGGUGGGAUUACAGAGGAACAGGUGAGCGUAGCCCAACCCCUCUGGGUGCCACCUGCUCCUAGGGCCACGCCUUGCUAUCCCAUCCAGGGAAAAGCCCACGUCACGAGUCAGGGCACGACCGAGCCAGACUACAGUGAUCUUUCAGGUCCCCGUGGUGCAUCAGGACUUAAAGGCGUGUCAUUGGAGUGGCCCCCCACAGCCUUGGCCCUCCACCCCAAGCUCCUCUUGCUGAUUUUAUCUUUCCCUUCGCUCUCCAAACUGGGUACCCCUGGGAACCAACUCCCCCAUUCUGCAGGGUGGACCCUUCAUUUCAGUUCAACUUGGCCGUUCAGCCUGCCCGCCAGACCCUGCGCCAGGCCCACUUGCCACCCACCUCCCACCAAGUGCCCAGCAGAGCCACCUUUUGUGCCUGCCCGAAGCCCUGAACCUGGGGCUAGAAAGCCAAAUGCAGACCUCGCUGAGGAGGGAAGAGUUUGGCCCCAGCUCCCCGACACCUGGGGCAGGACUGGCCAGCAGCCAGGCUCUGCAGCCAGGGGCCUGGGCCUGCUUUCCUCUGGAGUGGCAGGUCUUGGAGUCUUGCCCCUUGAGACUGAGGAAGCCCUGGGUCCUUGGACUCACCCGGCCACUCUCUGCAGGAAGCACCACUGUCCUCCCUCAGCCUUGCCAGGGCUUUCUUGGUGUGGUGGACUUUAAGGCCUGGCCCCAGACUCCUCCCACCUGAUUUGCAUACCACAACAUGCAACUUUGUAACACCAAGUAUCUACUUGUGUCCCUCUUGAGUCGGGAUAGCCUGUGGCUUGCUUUCACCACAGGCUUCAGGAAAAGACAUUUUGUCCUCUUGGAAUGUUGACCAAGACCCCCUCAUUAGGACCCUGCUGCAUCUGGUGGAGGACAAGGGGCAGGGAGAACUGAAGCCUCUGGUCACCAGCCAGCUGUGAGUGAGGCUCCCUGACUUUCUGGACCAGACUGACUGCAGCACAAGAGUAGGUCCAUGUGGGACCAGCAGAGAACCAUCUCACAACUGUAGUGUCAUAAGAAAGGAAGCGAUGUGUCCUGACUGUGAAGCUAAAUGGUUUCAUUUUCACCAAACAGUCAGGGUGAGUGAGGCUCUGGUGCCGUAACAAGCAAGUCCCGAAGAACUGACACAGGCUUUUCUUGCUCUCCCAACUUGUCUGCUGCAGUCAGCAGGGGGACUCAUCACGGACUCCCAGGCUUCCCUGUCUUAAGAUGCCAACAUCUCAACAUGUGCUUCUAUAAUUCCUGUGACAGGAGCAUUAAGGUGACUCUCAAACGCCCCCUCCUGGAAGGGACACUCAUCACCUCUAUCCAUCUCUCUCUCCCUGACCAACUUAAGCGUCCUGGCUACCUUUGAGAUCUAGACCAAGGGACGCGCUAUUGUCCUGUGGCCCUGAAGAAGGACUGAUCAUUGGCGACCCCAGCUGUGUCCUCCGCGUGGUCAGAUGCAGACCUAAGACUUUAUGACCUCGUGUUCCAGGCUGCCCUGUUUCACCUCCUGAUGUGUUCUUAGAAACUAUUCAUUUCAUUAUUGCUCCAUGAUUUACGCAACUUGUCUUCUAUUUAUAUAAUCUGGAUGGAGUCACUUUUUGCUAUCACAAAUGACACUUCAAUUAAUAUUUUAUUCUUUAAUUAUCCUCCAAAUUUAUAUUUUGG